This 639-nucleotide long non-coding RNA is filed under the name Homo sapiens (human). Its description in RNAcentral is "non-protein coding SNAP25-AS1:20". The record is from RNAcentral. Lineage: Eukaryota; Metazoa; Chordata; Mammalia; Primates; Hominidae.
AAAUCAAGUCCGCGGGGCAUGGAGGCUGCUGUCGCUGCAGCAGCUCAGCUUGCCCGGGGCGGGAACUCCCCCUUUCUCCUUUCGCCUCCCCAGCACCCACACCCUGUCUCCCCCUUAAUUCUUCCCUGGAUAAUAGCACCCUAACGACAACAGUCAUAAUAAUAGGGUUAGAACGACAGGGGAGGAAAACUCAACAGCCUAAAUAUCUCUGAAAACUGCAUCGCAAAAUGGAAGAAAGAGGGGGUCCCACUACUGUUUCAAAAGAGAGCCAUGGAAGUCAAAUGCUGAGGAUGGUGGCAUCAUAGGAUGAAUGGAGCUGGGUUCUUGAAACACUGCCUGGAGGAAAGACAGCAAAAAUGCCUCAUGAAUCCAACUGGACUGUUAGGAUGCUCACCCUUGGAGACCAGCAACAAUGUGUGCAGAAACCCAGGCCAUGUGGAGAGGCCCCACAUACGUGUCCAACUGAGGUCCCAGCUGACAGCUGGCAUUGACAUGUGAGUGAGACUCUGAACGUUCCAGCUGAUGACAAGUACAGUUUGAGCGAGCUAUCCCUGUUGGGCCUGUCAAAACUGCAGAUUUCAUGAAGAAAAUAAGUGUUGUUGACUUAAGCCAGUAAGUUUUGACAUACUAUGUUACACA